UGGGCAACCUGCCCUGCACACUGGGAUAACCCCGGGAAACCGGGGCUAAUACCGGAUAUGACUCGACGAGACAUCUUGUCGAGUGGAAAGUUCCGGCGGUGCAGGAUGGGCCCGCGGCCUAUCAGCUAGUUGGUGGGGUGACGGCCUACCAAGGCGACGACGGGUAGCCGGCCUGAGAGGGCGACCGGCCACACUGGGACUGAGACACGGCCCAGACUCCUACGGGAGGCAGCAGUGGGGAAUAUUGCUCAAUGGGCGCAAGCCUGAAGCAGCGACGCCGCGUGAGGGAUGACGGCCUUCGGGUUGUAAACCUCUUUCA
This 319-nucleotide ribosomal RNA is filed under the name uncultured bacterium. RNAcentral's name for it is "bacterial SSU rRNA". It matches the Rfam family "Bacterial small subunit ribosomal RNA", at positions 118 to 438 of the family's 1533-position model. The record is from RNAcentral.